GAUGAACGCUGGCUACAGGCUUAACACAUGCAAGUCGAGGGGAAACGCCGGGGAAGCUUGCUUCCCCGGGCGUCGACCGGCGCACGGGUGAGUAACGCGUAUCCAACCUGCCUCUGACUGAGGGAUAACCCGUCGAAAGUCGGCCUAAUACCUCAUGGUAUCGUCUGCGGGCAUCCAACGACGAUUAAAGAUUUCAUCGGUCAGGGAUGGGGAUGCGUCUGAUUAGCUUGUUGGCGGGGUAACGGCCCACCAAGGCUACGAUCAGUAGGGGUUCUGAGAGGAAGGUCCCCCACAUUGGAACUGAGACACGGUCCAAACUCCUACGGGAGGCAGCAGUGAGGAAUAUUGGUCAAUGGGCGAGAGCCUGAACCAGCCAAGUAGCGUGCAGGAAGACGGCCCUAUGGGUUGUAAACUGCUUUUAUGCGGGGAUAAAGUGAGGGACGUGUCCCUCAUUGCAGGUACCGCACGAAUAAGGACCGGCUAAUUCCGUG
Molecule: ribosomal RNA, 491 nt
Filed under: uncultured bacterium
Lineage: Bacteria
Description: partial 16S ribosomal RNA
Rfam family: Bacterial small subunit ribosomal RNA
Source: RNAcentral